CGGGGGGAAAGCCUUGAUGCAGCGACGCCGCGUGAGGGAUGACGGCCUUCGGGUUGUAAACCUCUUUCGACAGGGACGAAGCGCAAGUGACGGUACCUGUAGAAGAAGCACCGGCCAACUACGUGCCAGCAGCCGCGGUAAUACGUAGGGUGCGAGCGUUGUCCGGAAUUACUGGGCGUAAAGAGCUUGUAGGCGGUUUGUCGCGUCCUCCGUGAAAACUUGGGGCUCAACCCCAAGCUUGCGGGCGAUACGGGCAGACUUGAGUACUGCAGGGGAGACUGGAAUUCCUGGUGUAGCGGUGAAAUGCGCAGAUAUCAGGAGGAACACCGGUGGCGAAGGCGGGUCUCUGGGCAGUAACUGACGCUGAAAAGCGAAAGCGUGGGUAGCGAACAGGAUUAGAUACCCCAGUAGUCCAC
This 416-nucleotide ribosomal RNA is filed under the name Nocardia farcinica. RNAcentral describes it as "bacterial SSU rRNA". It matches the Rfam family "Bacterial small subunit ribosomal RNA", at positions 372 to 798 of the family's 1533-position model. Lineage: Bacteria; Bacillati; Actinomycetota; Actinomycetes; Mycobacteriales; Nocardiaceae. The record is from RNAcentral.